Molecule: long non-coding RNA, 308 nt
Filed under: Homo sapiens (human)
Lineage: Eukaryota; Metazoa; Chordata; Mammalia; Primates; Hominidae
Description: HSALNT0000452
Source: RNAcentral
CCAGGGUGGCCUCCUCGUGGUUGUCCUGGAUGUCCACAUUGACCACGUGCACAGGCUGGCAGGUCUCCUGUUCUCUGGAAUUCAGAUCUGAUUGGGACAAGGUGACACAGACGUCAGAGGCUCCAAAACCAGGGAACAGGCAGUCAAUGUGGCUGAGUCCCCAGCUCUGCCGGCUGCAGGCCCAGCCCAGCCCCAGUGGUUUCUGGACUCUGCAGUUUGGGGAGCACAAUGAAUGAGCCUCAAACCGAAGGCGGCUGAUGGUUCGAGGAAACCUGAGCAAAUCUCCAACUCAGCACAAGCUGGUCUGG